ACAGAGGGUGCAAGCGUUAAUCGGAAUUACUGGGCGUAAAGCGCGCGUAGGUGGUUUGUUAAGUUGGAUGUGAAAUCCCCGGGCUCAACCUGGGAACUGCAUUCAAAACUGACUGACUAGAGUAUGGUAGAGGGUGGUGGAAUUUCCUGUGUAGCGGUGAAAUGCGUAGAUAUAGGAAGGAACACCAGUGGCGAAGGCGACCACCUGGACUGAUACUGACACUGAGGUGCGAAAGCGUGGGGAGCAAACAGG
This 252-nucleotide ribosomal RNA is filed under the name uncultured bacterium. Its description in RNAcentral is "partial 16S ribosomal RNA". It matches the Rfam family "Bacterial small subunit ribosomal RNA", at positions 525 to 776 of the family's 1533-position model. RNAcentral also lists the same sequence under 1 other name. The record is from RNAcentral.